AACUAUUUGAUUUGUGCACAAAACUCAAAGCUGAUAUAUGGGUGGCGAUAGUUGAUGGACUAUAAUUUCGUAAGAAUAAAUUAGCAAUAAAAUGAGAUAGGAGUAUGUGGGAAGAUGGAAAUGGUCUGCAUUCAGCAUAAUACGUCUCACAAAAUUGUAAGUAACUAUUUAUCAUUCUAGAGUAAGAUUUGUGUGUAGCAUCUGAUAAAGAUGCU
This 215-nucleotide long non-coding RNA is filed under the name Mytilus galloprovincialis (Mediterranean mussel). The record is from RNAcentral. Lineage: Eukaryota; Metazoa; Mollusca; Bivalvia; Mytilida; Mytilidae.